AAGUAGUUGCAACACUGAAUGAAUAUUUCGACCCAAAGCGCCACGAGAUCACCGAAAGCUUCCGGUUCUUCAAUCGAUGUCAGCACGAAGCCGGAUCGCCAACGAGUCUCCCGGCCGCGGACGACAUCGCCAACGAGUUUCAAGACGUCUUCAGUGCGGAACUCGGCUGCAUCAGCGGUCCCCCUGUACACCUUCAACUCAAGGAGGGAGCUACACCAAAGUUCUAUCAUCAGCCGCUCCUGGGCCUGCUGAAAGCGGACAAGCCUACGCCGG
Molecule: long non-coding RNA, 273 nt
Organism: Ixodes scapularis (black-legged tick)
Lineage: Eukaryota; Metazoa; Arthropoda; Arachnida; Ixodida; Ixodidae
Exons: 3
Source: RefSeq, a predicted model, not a curated record